Molecule: ribosomal RNA, 371 nt
Filed under: uncultured organism
Description: bacterial SSU rRNA
Rfam family: Bacterial small subunit ribosomal RNA
Source: RNAcentral
CGGAAGGGGCUAGCGUUGCUCGGAAUCACGUGGGCGUAAAGGGCGCGUAGGCGGAUCUUUAAGUCGGGGGUGAAAGCCCAGGGCUCAACCCUGGAAUUGCCUUCGAUACUGAAGAUCUCGAGACCGGAAGAGGUAAGUGGAACUGCGAGUGUAGAGGUGAAAUUCGUAGAUAUUCGCAAGAACACCAGUGGCGAAGGCGGCUUACUGGUCCGGUUCUGACGCUGAGGCGCGAAAGCGUGGGGAGCAAACAGGAUUAGAUACCCUGGUAGUCCACGCCGUAAACGAUGGAUGCUAGCCGUUGGCGAGCUUGCUCGUCAGUGGCGCAGCUAACGCUUUAAGCAUCCCGCCUGGGGAGUACGGUCGCAAGAUUA